UACAGAGGUCCCAAGCGUUGUUCGGAUUCACUGGGCGUAAAGGGUGCGUAGGUGGCGAAGUAAGUCGGAUGUGAAAUCUCCGAGCUCAACUCGGAAACUGCAUUGGAAACUACUUUGCUUGAGGGUCGGAGGGGGGACUGGAAUUCUCGGUGUAGCAGUGAAAUGCGUAGAUAUCGAGAGGAACACCAGUGGCGAAGGCGAGUCCCUGGACGACUCCUGACACUGAGGCACGAAAGCUAGGGGAGCAAACAGG
This 253-nucleotide ribosomal RNA is filed under the name uncultured bacterium. RNAcentral's name for it is "partial 16S ribosomal RNA". It matches the Rfam family "Bacterial small subunit ribosomal RNA", at positions 524 to 776 of the family's 1533-position model. The record is from RNAcentral.